Molecule: ribosomal RNA, 559 nt
Filed under: uncultured bacterium
Lineage: Bacteria
Description: bacterial SSU rRNA
Rfam family: Bacterial small subunit ribosomal RNA
Source: RNAcentral
CCUACGGGAGGCAGCAGUGAGGAAUUUUCCGCAAUGGGCGAAAGCCUGACGGAGCAAUACCGCGUGAGGGAUGAAGGAUUUUGGUCUGUAAACCUCUUUUCUCAAGAAAGAAGUUCUGACGGUACUUGAGGAAUAAGCAUCGGCUAACUCCGUGCCAGCAGCCGCGGUAAUACGGGGGAUGCAAGCGUUAUCCGGAAUGAUUGGGCGUAAAGCGCCUGUAGGUUGUUUAUUAAGUCCGUUGUUAAAGCCUAGGGCUCAACCCUAGAAAAGCAAUGGAAGCUAGUAGACUAGAGUAUGGCAGGGGUAGAGGGAAUUUCUAGUGUAGCGGUGAAAUGCGUAGAUAUUAGAAAGAACACCGGUGGCGAAAGCGCUCUACUGGACCAUUACUGACACUCAGAGGCGAAAGCUAGGGUAGCAAAAGGGAUUAGAUACCCCUGUAGUCCUAGCCGUAAACGAUGGAUACUAGAUGUUGUGCAUUAUGUACAGUAUCGUAGCUAACGCGUUAAGUAUCCCGCCUGGGGAGUACGCUCGCAAGGGUGAAACUCAAAGGAAUUGACGG